Molecule: ribosomal RNA, 447 nt
Filed under: uncultured bacterium
Lineage: Bacteria
Description: partial 16S ribosomal RNA
Rfam family: Bacterial small subunit ribosomal RNA
Source: RNAcentral
AACGAACGCUGGCGGCAGGCUUAACACAUGCAAGUCGAACGCCCCGCAAGGGGAGUGGCAGACGGGUGAGUAACACGUGGGAACGUGCCCAAAGGUACGGAACAACUCCGGGAAACUGGAGCUAAUACCGUAUGUGUCCGCAAGGAGAAAGAUUUAUCGCCUUUGGAUCGGCCCGCGUCGGAUUAGCUAGUUGGUGGGGUAAUGGCCUACCAAGGCGACGAUCCGUAGCUGGUUUGAGAGAACGACCAGCCACACUGGGACUGAGACACGGCCCAGACUCCUACGGGAGGCAGCAGUGGGGAAUCUUGGACAAUGGGCGCAAGCCUGAUCCAGCCAUGCCGCGUGGAUGACGAAGGCCUUAGGGUUGUAAAAUCCUUUCGUCAGGGACGAUAAUGACGGUACCUGAAGAAGAAGCCCCGGCUAACUUCGUGCCAGCCGCCGCCGUAA